Molecule: ribosomal RNA, 550 nt
Filed under: uncultured bacterium
Lineage: Bacteria
Description: bacterial SSU rRNA
Rfam family: Bacterial small subunit ribosomal RNA
Source: RNAcentral
UAGGGAAUCUUCGGCAAUGGGGGGAACCCUGACCGAGCAACGCCGCGUGAGUGAAGAAGGUUUUCGGAUCGUAAAGCUCUGUUGUUAAGGAAGAACGAGUGUGAGAAUGGAAAGUUCAUACUGUGACGGUACUUAACCAGAAAGGGACGGCUAACUACGUGCCAGCAGCCGCGGUAAUACGUAGGUCCCGAGCGUUGUCCGGAUUUAUUGGGCGUAAAGCGAGCGCAGGUGGUUAGAUAAGUCUGAAGUUAAAGGCAGUGGCUCAACCAUUGUAGGCUUUGGAAACUGUUUAACUUGAGUGCAGAAGGGGAGAGUGGAAUUCCAUGUGUAGCGGUGAAAUGCGUAGAUAUAUGGAGGAACACCGGUGGCGAAAGCGGCUCUCUGGUCUGUAACUGACGCUGAGGCUCGAAAGCGUGGGGAGCGAACAGGAUUAGAUACCCUGGUAGUCCACGCCGUAAACGAUGAGUGCUAGGUGUUAGGUCCUUUCCGGGACUUAGUGCCGCAGCUAACGCAUUAAGCACUCCGCCUGGGGAGUACGACCGCAAGGUUG